UACGGAGGAUGCGAGCGUUAUCCGGAUUUAUUGGGUUUAAAGGGUGCGUAGGCGGUAUUUUAAGUUAGUGGUAAAACGUCGGGGCUUCACCUUGAUUGGCCAUUAAAACUGGAGUACUAGAGUACAGACGAGGUAGGCGGAAUAAGUUAAGUAGCGGUGAAAUGCAUAGAUAUCACGCAGAACCCCGAUUGCGAAGGCAGCAUACCGGCGCCCUACUGACGCUGAGGCACGAAAGUGCGGGUAUCGAACAGG
Molecule: ribosomal RNA, 252 nt
Filed under: uncultured Odoribacter sp.
Lineage: Bacteria; Pseudomonadati; Bacteroidota; Bacteroidia; Bacteroidales; Odoribacteraceae
Description: partial 16S ribosomal RNA
Rfam family: Bacterial small subunit ribosomal RNA
Source: RNAcentral